This 1020-nucleotide unclassified non-coding RNA is filed under the name Hevea brasiliensis (rubber tree). The record is from RNAcentral. Lineage: Eukaryota; Viridiplantae; Streptophyta; Magnoliopsida; Malpighiales; Euphorbiaceae.
AGCAUGACAGCUUCAUCAUGCUCCAGGGAUGACAUGCCCCCCCACUCAUCAGACUGGAAGUCAGCACCGUUUCUUGGGGAGUGAUUAAGAUUCUGUCGAGGACUUGAUAAUGGGCUAACAACACGUUCUUCGACAUCCUGAGCUGUUUCUGAACCUGAAGAUAUAGGUUUUCUUCUGCGCCAAACCAGUGGUUCCUCUUCUAAAUCUUCAGCCUCAUCUUGGAUGGAUGAACUCCCCACCUCUGAUCUAAAUUGCCUUCCAUUUGAAAUUGUUGAUUUUCCAUGCUCAUUCUCUUCAGCUGGCUUAUAACCUUCUGAUUCUGGUAUAGCUUUACUUCCUUCAUGCAUCGCUUUCUCCUGCUCAGCAGCCUUCAAAGACAAAGAGACUGCACGUGCAAGUUCAGCAUCCUCUAGAUGAGACUCCCUUGGUUGAGGCCUUGAAUCACUUAGAUCACUGUUGACAUCAAAUUGUUGGGUCGACAUUUCAGCAUCACGUCUAGAAGCUUCAAUCGCAGCACGAACCAUUUCCUCCUCAAUAUCAUUGGCAUAGUCUGGUAAGACAUCACCACCAGGAGCACUUGGUCCUGAGAAUACUGCUGUAGAGUCCCCACCAAAGAUAUCAUCAUUUGUUCUAUCACGCCUGACAGCACGUGUUGCCAGGGGACCUGGAAUUACUUCAUCAUCGUCAUCGUCCUCCUCAAUUAUGACAGUCCCACGAGUUUCUGGGCCUUGAGUCUGGUCAGCGUCUGUAACAUCCUCAAUAACAGGAGCAUUUCUAGAAUGACCAGAUUGUCCAUCCCCAUCCUUCACCUCAAUAGGGAUCUCUCUUACUUGUCUUGGAUGUGAAACAAACGGAGCACGGCUAGUAAGAUCGGUGUCAAACAUACUUCGAGUGAAACUAGGAUCAAGAAGGGAGAAAGCACUUGGAGUUCUAGAAGAGGAAAAAACUGAAAAGGGAGGUCUGUGAAAUUCCUCUGUAAUCGGAUCAUCUAUUUCCAUAUCAUCCUCGUGUGGAGCAGCA